This 468-nucleotide ribosomal RNA is filed under the name uncultured bacterium. Its description in RNAcentral is "partial 16S ribosomal RNA". It matches the Rfam family "Bacterial small subunit ribosomal RNA", at positions 28 to 507 of the family's 1533-position model. The record is from RNAcentral.
GACGAACGCUGGCGGCGUGCUUAACACAUGCAAGUCGAACGGAAAGGCCCUGCUUUUGUGGGGUGCUCGAGUGGCGAACGGGUGAGUAACCCGUGAGUAACCUGUCCUUGACUUUGGGAUAACUUCAGGAAACUGGGGCUAAUACCGGAUAGGAGCUCCUGCCGCUUGGUGGGGGCUGGUUAGUUUCGCCGGUUGGGGAUGGACUCGCCGCCUAUCAGCUUGUUGGUGGGGUAGUGGCUUACCAAGGCUAUGACGGGUAGCCGGGCUGGGCGGGGAGGCGGACACAUUGGAAUGGGAAUGCGGCACAGCCUACUACGGGAGGCAACGGAGGAGUAGAGUGUAUAGUAGGCGGGAGGCUGGUGCGGCAAAGCCGCGUGGGGGAUGACGGCAAGCGGGUAGUGUUCUGCUUUCGCCUGACACGGGGCGUGAAUGACGGUAAUGGGUAAAGAAGCACCGGCUAACUACGUG